This 253-nucleotide ribosomal RNA is filed under the name uncultured bacterium. Its description in RNAcentral is "partial 16S ribosomal RNA". It matches the Rfam family "Bacterial small subunit ribosomal RNA", at positions 524 to 776 of the family's 1533-position model. The record is from RNAcentral.
UACGGGGGGGGCAAGCGUUGUUCGGAAUUACUGGGCGUAAAGGGUGCGUAGGCGGCUUUCUAAGUGGGCUGUGAAAACUCUGGGCUCAACCCAGAGCCUGCAUCCAAAACUGGAGAGCUAGGGUUCUGGAGGGGAAAGCGGAAUUCCUGGUGUAGCGGUGAAAUGCGUAGAUAUCAGGAGGAACACCGGUGGCGAAGGCGACUACCUGGACCAGCACUGACACUGAGGCACGAAAGCGUGGGGAGCAAACAGG